AAUCGACUGAGUUUCUCAGUUAACAACUGGAGGUGAAGCUUGAAGAGCAAGUGCCCCUGGAACAAAAGCUCUUGUUCUUAGCCCUAGGUGUAAAUGAUUAAAAAGAGAUCUAUAGCCAGAGCAAUGAGGAAGCCAGAGAAAGCUGGCCAGUAAGGGGAAAGAGAAAUGGAGUUUCCCAGCAAGAAGAUUCUGAAGCAUGGGAUGGGGCAGGAAGAGGACCUGCAGUAGCGGCUUCACAAUUUUAACCGAGCCUUGCCUUUUUCUAACUCCGAGAGGACAUCCUUGACAGAUGCCUAGGGCAUCUUCCAGACAACUCCGCCACAGAGACAGUUCUUAGCCUCUUGUCUCCACUGCACAUGGAUGGCUCUUCCCUGCCUAGACGGGCCGUGGGUUCCUGGAUGCUGCAGACACAGGAGAGAAGAACACAGCCGGGGGCUUUCAACUGGUUCCACCUCAGCUAAGGAAGGUCAUUCCUUUGUUUCAGCAUCUGGUUUCAUUUUGUGCUUUCCGAGAAAACACCAUGUGCAGGAGAGAAAAACAUCUCCAUACAUUUCCUCUGACAUAGAGCAAGGUGUGGAAUGGUUGACAGGACCAGGGCUUUCUGUGCUACCACUGGCCACGGGCUCAGGGAACUAGACGCUUCGCUGCGUUGAUGAUACUGCAGCUUUUCUCACGCUCGGAGGUGCAAUGAAAACUGACCACUUCUCUAAUGACUUCCGUAAGCCUCCACACCUCUUUAAGGACUAAGGGGCCGUUUCCUCUUCUAGGUUUAACUCCUUCCAGUGUGUCUAUUCACUGUCGGAUUAGAACGUAUGUCAUGAAUAUUAUACUUGGCGAAUAUAGUGUUGUAUUUUAAUCGUGCUGUCAAGACGAUAUGAGUUCAACACAGGCUCUGUCGUUUUCUAGCUGGAUGACCCUUGUCAAGCUUCAUGGCCUCUUAGAAUUACAUUAGCUUUACAAUGUGUUUAUCAAUAUCUAACUUUUUGCAUGGUGAAAAAACAGUGUGAAAAUAUAUGUAUUCUGUAUAUAUACAUGACUGUAUUAUUACACUGACAUGUUCUAAUUUUUAAAACAGUACAGCCCAACAGUGAGCAUAUUGUUGCUAUAAUGACAGGACAACAGUCAUAAUAUUUAUAGGCCAUCACAUCUCACCAAACACUUUACAUACUUUUUUUUUAAAUUUCAGGCUUAUCACCUGGUGAGUUUGGCAUAGCUAAUAUUUUUAAAUAUUUACUUUAGAAAUUGGAGAUUGGGAAUCAGAGAGGCAAAUUUAAAGUCACACAGUUGAUCCUAUUGUUGAGAGGAGGAUACUGACUGCCCCCCGAAAAGUAACUUGUUGAAAGGAGGAAAACUAGUAAAUAGAGAUGAAAAUUGGCACCCAAUAGAGAUGAGAUAAAUUUGAACCGACAUCAAAUCUCAUGCUCUUUUCAUCACGGCUAAUUAAUUUUAAUUCUUAAUAAAUUUUCUGGUUCAUAUAUCACUUUCUGAGAGAGAUGUGUUAAUAUUUCCAAUUACCAUUUGAGACAUCUUGAGCUGUUCUUUAUUUUCUCAGCAUUAGAAAACAUCCCUCUUCAAAUUUUAUGAUGUUUUUAUUUGCAAGUGUAUUUUGGUAUUAGAAGUUCCAUCAUGGCUUUCUUUUGGCUCAUAUUUGUCUGCUCAUCCCUCAUUAAUUUUGGGGGGGCCCCCACACCCACAGCAUAUGGAAGUUCCCAGGCUAGGGGUCAAAUCUCAGCUAUAGCUGCUGGCCUACACCACAGCAAGGUGGAUCCAAGCUGCAUCUGGGACCUACAUCAUAGCUCACGGCAUGGCCCAGGAUUGAACCCACAUCCUCGUGGAUACUAGUCAGGCUUGUUACCACUGAGCCACAGUGGGACCUUCCUCAUAACAUAUGCUUAAAAGAAUAAACAGGGUGUGACCUCUUUAAGAAUUUUAAUGUAUAUAACCAAAUCACUUUCCAGAAAUUUUGUGCCAAUUUACUGACCAGCAUUUGAUGACAAGGGUUCCUGGUGGCCUAGAAGUUAAGGACUUGACAUUGCCACUGCUGCAGUUUGGAUUACUGCUGUGGCUCAGGUUGGAUCCCUGACCUGUGAACUUCUACAGGCCAGGGACAUGGCCAAAAAAAUUUUGAUGAGAUUUCACUCCAGUGAUUUCACUCUAAUAAUUUUCUAAAAAUUAUUUUUUGCUAAUGUGAAAGAUAGAAAUGUUGUUUCCUUUCUGGUUUAAUUUACAUUUAUUUGAGUACCGGUAAGAUUGUUUAUAUAUGCUAGCUAGUUACAUUUUUCUUAUGCCCAUUUGCCUCUCAAGGUCUUACUCCAUUUAUUACAGUUUUUUAUGAGUUCUUAAUAUGCUAUUUCAAACUAUCUAUUACAUUUCUAACAAAUACCACACUUUCUGAUGCUAAGUUGCCUUUGAUGAGAAGACACAGCAUUACUGUAGUAAUGUGAUAGACUGUAAUCUUGGACUAGAUACUAACUUCCCGAAAAUAACCUCAAUUUCCGUCAUUUAUAAAACAGGCUGUAUAAUACUACCCAGCAGUGUUGUGUGAGGAAAAAAAUGAGAUAAGACUCGGCAUACGGUCAGCACAUGAUAAUUAUCAGUAGUGAUUCUAAUUUUCUUUUGGGUGGAGGUCACAUCUUACCUCUCUCACUUUGGUAUUCGAUGUAAAUCUGAAUUGAGAAGAUACUUAUCAGCUAGCGGUGCCUGAUUUCUCUUAAGAGGACUACCGACACCAAACAAAAAUUUGAACUGAAAUUAGACAAGCUGUACUAUGAGGAAGUCCUGUGGCCAUCCUGUUGCUGUAUAGGCAGUGAUGCUAACAGGCAGGGUCACAGGAGCCUUUGGGACUGUCAUAGCCAGGAAGCCCGGGUGCCAAACAGGCUCCAGAGAGCCUGCUUUCCCACCCAUGACGGGAGCUGUGGACAAGAGAGUUAUGAAUAAGGAUGGAAUCUCCUCAUUGGACCGAAUUCAAAAUGUGCAGUAGCAACUAGAGUUAGGGUAUCUUUGCCAAAAAGAAAUCAAGAAAAACAAUGGACUUUGGAAUUUUCUCUUGAAAUCUACUUCCCAUAGGGACUUUUUUUUUUUUUUUGCUGGCUUGCUCUCCUGUUACCUAUAAAUUUCUCCAUUCACAGAAAAGGGUUAGUAACAGAGAAAAAGAAUACUGCAAUAGUCCCUCAUGUCUCAAUGGCAAUUUAUAGAAGAGGAGAGAAAAUAAGAGAAUUAACUUUUUGUUUCAAUUUUCCAAAAAGAUUUACAUCCUGGAGUAUGGACUCAUGGAGUCAUUGAGCUUAAAGCCAUGAGAGACCUCUGAAAGCACUCAGACAACGACUCUUCCUCUUUCCUCUCCUCCUCCUCCUUCUCCUCCAACUUCUUUUCUGCUUCUCCUUCUUCUAUUUCUCCUGCUUCUCCUCCUCCUUCUCCUUCUCCUUCCUCUUCUUCUUCUUCUGCAGAUGAAGAAACUAAAGUCUCGAAAAGAAAGAGAAGCUAAGUCCCCUGACUCCUGUACUAGUGCUUAGUCUGUACAAUUCUUCACCUGGCAUACGUUGCCCAGUCUUCCUUCAGAGUUCUGCCGUUGUACAAAAGCCUUGCAAUGACCUUCACCCUGUCCAAAAACUUUAUAGCAGGACACUCACCAAAAAACCGUACUAUUUGUAAAUUCCAAUUUCUUCUUAGGCUGAAAGUAUUUCAAGUGGAAAGCAUCAAGCCAUGGUUUUGAAACCAGCACCAAGGUCCCUUUCAAAGGGAUGAGCAUUACAUCUAGUUGCUUAUGGCCGGGACCCCAGACAGACAUCUGUUCUUAUUAUUUGGAGCCUUGGGCCCUCGGAGUUAAGAUUUGUGUCUUGGUAGAACUCAGAGAGAAGGAGAAGCAGCUGCGAAGGCACUGCAGCCAAGGAGAUUAUCUUUGAAGACACUUAUGAGACCCUGCGUGAAAUAAAACCCAGAGAAAUUAUGCUGUUACCCUUCUUUAUGCAAGAACCCAAUGAACAUAUCUGCCACACACUGGGUACAAACUGGAGAAUCAAAGAUGGUGCCCCAAAGGAAGCCAAACAUGCAAGAGUCUGUAAUGCAAUCUGAGAAGCACGGUAACUCACUUGGAUUUGAGAAGUCAGGAACGGCUACAGUGAUGGCAAUGGGUGACCCCAGUUUUGCAGGAGGAGUAAGUUUAGGUGAGCAAGAAGGGAAGGGUGUUCCUGGCAAAGGAAACAGUAAAUUGUGAGUUUCGUUCAUCAGGGCAGUGACCUGUGGCCAAAUUGUGAAGGAUGAGUAGGACUAUGGAGACAAGAUAGGAACGAACAAUCCGGGCAAAGGAAGCAGAGUAGAUCUUGACAGUUUCUCUCCAGUUUCGAUAAGCUCCUGAAGGGCAGGGGCCAUGUGCUGCUCAGUUUUACAGCCCUAAGCCUGGCAGAGAGGGAGAUAUGUGGAGCAAAUGACUGUUGAGUUGAUGAGUGGAUGGAUGUGGGGAGCAGAUACCCUCAUCUUCAGUCUGCAGAACCCAACAAUCUCUCCCAAAUGGGGCCAGAACCUACGCCUUUCUCCAAGCUCCCCUGAACACCUGCAUGGGACAUUUGCCAGACACUAUGACCCUGGGUAACAUCUGGCAGCAGCUGCUUGGCUAUGUGAGACACACCAGUCUGAAGAGGAAGGUACUGUUUUUUAGUUUGGGAGAUCUGCUGGGAAAUGAAGUAAAUCUUCAUAAAGAGAUUACAAUAAGCUGCAGGAUAAAUCAAAUUGUCCCUUAAUAAAAAACAUGGACUGAAGGGGAAUGGGUGAGGGGUAAUGAACAUAUUAAAUUCCCCUUCGAGAGCAGACAGUCUUCCUUUGAUGCUGCUUUUUAAAUUAAGGAUUGCUUUGUAGUAUUGGGACCAAGUCAGCUGUCCUUCUAGCUACGUGGCUGAUGAAAUUCAAGAUGAAUGUGGCUAAAGCUGCCCAGAUCCCUGGUCUCUGAAGCCUUCUCCCGCUUCUGGAAACUAAAGUUUGGGCUAACAAGCCUGUGGUUGUGAGAGCAUUUGGGCAAAUCACUUUCAUCAUGUUGGAUUUUUUCAUAUAAAAAUAAGACAAACAAAUAGUCUUUUUUUUUUUUUCCAACAGAACAACAGGGUAGCACGAUCAAGCAGUAUUCCUAAUUGGUGGACCUGGGCGAAAGUAAAUGGGCAAGGGGGCUCAUUCCAUCCUUCUUUCUACCUGUGGGUGAUUACCAUUUUCCGUAACAAAAUAUAUUUUUAAAAAGAGUUUCGAUGAGUCGUUCGUGGUCUGUAUCUCUUCGUUCUCCAAUUCCACUCUCCAGAGUUAGACAGGAUAACGACAGCCUGGUUAUUGUUGGUCCCCAACCGAGAUGCAAACCCCAUUGGCUACUGAUACUCCAUCUUCCCCUCUCACCCCAACUCCCCCUUCCUCGUCUCCCCCCUAAAUCUCUCCUCGGAGUCUUCCCUGUCAUCCCACGACAUCUUCGUGGAGCCUUUGCUCUUUGCCUUAAGAGGCAUUUGACUCUUUCCCGAGACAAUCAGCGGCCACUUGAAUGACAGUGGCUCCUUUUCCCACAUCCCAGCUGAAACCGUCUAGUCUGAAGAUUAUGUCAAGAUGCUCUUUACUCCCUCCUGUUGCUUUCAGACCAUUUCUUCUCCACACCUUUGAAAAAUCUUUGAUUUCCUGUCACCAAACCUACAAACUUACCUGCAGCUGGGUCCUUCACUUCUGCUCUCUUUUCUCCUGUUUCAAUAUUCCUUCCUGUCCAGGGUUGACCUCUCCACUUGUGCUCUUGGCCUCAUUCCCCUCUCACCUUGGGAGGUACUUUUUUCUCUUAUGUUGCCUCCCUCUCCUGUCCCUUUAAAUGCUUCUUCUCCACAAUGGCUCCUUCCCACCCACGUAGCCUGCUGAACACAGCAAGGGACCCAGUGGGCAAUGAUUAACAACAUAGACUCGGGGCAGGGAACCAGGGACAAUUCCUGACUUCACCCUUUAUAGCCACGUGGCCGUAAAAGGGAGAUCACACGAAUAUCUCCCUUUAUGGGGAUUAAAUUAAUGAAUAUGUGUAAAGCAUUCAGAACAGUGCCCGGCCCAUAGCAAGUCUUAUGGAAGCAUUUGCUUAAUGAUUCAACCUUUUAAAACACGUCUCUCCUUUGAGGCACAAACCAAACAUGCAAACGGUAUGCUGUUCCCAGUUUCCACUUUCCCUUCCAGUCACCACCCUGAGCAGCCAUGCAGCCAUGCGUGUGGGGCUUUGCGACACUUCCCAUCUUCGCGUUCUCAACUUACUGCAGAUGGAAUUCACGAAAUCUAUUCUCACCGAGGGCGAUAUUCACAGCUUCCGAGUGGAAUCCGAGAGCUGCUUUUCAGCGUUUAUUGAUUCGUCGCUAGUGUUUGAGGUCACCAAUCGUCACCCCCCUUGAAAGGCUCCCUUCUGGCUCUAGGACACCAUCAACCUCUUCUGUUUCUCCUCCUAACCAUCCAGCCACUCUGCCUUGGCCCUUUUCCCUUCCCUUUCUUUGGUGCAGUCCCUUACACGUGAUGUCCUCAAGGUUCUGCUCCAGGCUCCCUGGUGACCGCAGGCGCUAGCAAAGCUUUGGUUAUCAUGGCUAUGCGGGUAAUUUUCAACUCUCAAUCUUCCUUCCAGAUCUGGGCUGAGACAUGGAGAGCCAGCUGCCUCCCGGAGAUCAUCACUUGGAUAAGGAGCUUAAACUAGUAAGUUCAAGUGUGUAAGUUCGUGUCCUCCCAGACCUUCCGGACUCUCUGGGGUGCCUGUUUUAGAGAACGGCGCCAGAGCCCACCCUGUCCUCAAGCCCAGAUCCCAGACUUAACUUCUUGGAUGCUCUCCCGCUCUAAUCUGGUGAAUCAUCUGCUGCUCUAAAAUCUUCGAAGUCCCGACUGUUGCUCCCUCCAUGGAAUUUCUCUUAAUUUCUAACCUGCGUGAAUGCACGUGCCUCCCUUGCCUCGUCCCUCCUCCCUGAAGCCAGAGCGAUCUUUCUAAAACACUGAUCCAAUACUCUGUCCCCCUGGCUGAAAGCAUGCCAAUGGCAAUCUGUUGCUCUUCACCCAGCCACCAGGAAGUCACCUGCAGGUCACUUGCACCUGCCACAGAGUUGAUUUUUAAAAAUCCAGGAAUUUUGCAGGCCAGUUAUUAAACUGGGGGCAGCUGAAAUCCGCCAGGAUGGAAACAGUCAUGUUAUAGAAACUGGUCAACCCCCUCCCCCGCCAGAGCUGGUUUACCAGCUCCCUUCACCUACCAGCCUCAUCCCUUAAAACUGCCAAGCUGCAGCUCUGCUCCCCAACCACCCCGAGCUCCUGCCAAUUCCCUCUCACUUCUGCACCCCUGUAGCACCACUGCCUCAGAGGGAACCCCCUCCUCUUCUACAGGCUCUCUCCUCCUCAUUCUGUUUGUAGGUCUUACACAAGUGUUCACCUCCUCAAGGGGACCUUUCUUGAUGUUCUGCCCUCAGAUUGACUGAUGUAUCCUUUCUAUGUGUUCCCACAGCACCCUGUCCUUCAUAAGCCUGUGUCUACCUCUCGGACUUCACAUCAAAAGAGGGCUUGCUAUUUG
This 7531-nucleotide long non-coding RNA is filed under the name Sus scrofa (pig). RNAcentral's name for it is "lncRNA (ENSSSCG00000055368.1)". Lineage: Eukaryota; Metazoa; Chordata; Mammalia; Artiodactyla; Suidae. The record is from RNAcentral.